Molecule: ribosomal RNA, 253 nt
Filed under: uncultured bacterium
Lineage: Bacteria
Description: partial 16S ribosomal RNA
Rfam family: Bacterial small subunit ribosomal RNA
Source: RNAcentral
UACAGAGGUGGCAAGCGUUGUUCGGAUUUACUGGGCGUAAAGGGUGCGUAGGUGGUCGCUUAUGUCGGGUGUGAAAGCCCACGGCUUAACCGUGGAAUGGCAUUCGAAACUGGGUGACUUGAGUGCAGGAGGGGAGAGCGGAAUUCUUGGUGUAGCGGUGAAAUGCGUUGAUAUCAAGAAGAACACCGGUGGCGAAGGCGGCUCUCUGGAAUGCUACUGACACUGAGGCACGAAAGCUGGGGGAGCAAACAGG